AUGGAGCAUCCGCUUUGAACCCCUCAUGCAACAGGGGAGGAAAUGAGGAAGUGACUUGCCCAGAGCCCCCUGGCUUAUCUAGGCAGAGUUGGAGCUGGAACCUGAGUAUCUGGGCUGCCUUCCUUCCAUCUACAGAUAUUUAUCUUGCACCCAGGCACUUGAACAACACAGACAGUUUCCUUAAUUUCAUUCUAGUGGAGUCGAACAGACUGAUUUCUCGAAUGGGUCACCACCCGUGGUAUGAGAACAUGACGUCAGCGCCAUGGUGUGGAGAGCUGAUCUUGUUUUAGUGAAGGAGUGAGUGGGAAGCCUGUAACAAGCUUUAAGAGGAGACUGGGAUGAUCCGAUGUAUGCUUUAAGAUCACUUCAUUGCUAGCCAAGAGCACUCUGAGGGUAGGAACUGUCUGCUCACCUUGAGAGGACCUUCACUCAGCACGGGGGCUGGCCCGAAGCACUGGCAUCAGGAUCCAGUGAAUCCUUGCAACUCUCAAAUUUGUUCAAAUGGCUGAGCUCCUUCACCGCCAGGGUGAUAUGAACCUCAGACUGCUGGUGGC
Molecule: long non-coding RNA, 554 nt
Organism: Symphalangus syndactylus (siamang)
Lineage: Eukaryota; Metazoa; Chordata; Mammalia; Primates; Hylobatidae
Source: RefSeq, a predicted model, not a curated record